AAUCGAAGCAGUGAACUUAAGCCCCAGUAAACGGCGGCCGUAACUAUAACGGUCCUAAGGUAGCGAAAUUCCUUGUCGGGUAAGUUCCGACCCGCACGAAAGGCGUAACGAUUUGGGCACUGUCUCAACAACAGACUCGGUGAAAUUGUAAUUCCGGUGAAGAUGCCGGAUACCUGCGACAGGACGGAAAGACCCCAUGGAGCUUUACUGUAGCUUGACAUUGGGUCUUGGUACUACAUGUACAGGAUAGGUGGGAGGCUUUGAAACCAGGACGCCAGUUUUGGCGGAGCCAUCCUUGGGAUACCACCCUUGUAGUACUGGGACUCUAACCAUAGGCCAUGAAUCUGGUCUUGGGACACUGUCAGGUGGGCAGUUUGACUGGGGCGGUCGCCUCCCAAAAGGUAACGGAGGCGCUCAAAGGUUCUCUCAGUACGGUCGGAAAUCGUACGUAGAGUGUAAAGGCAAAAGAGAGCUUGAGUGCAAGACAUACAGGUCGAGCAAGGAUGAAAAUCGGACUUAGUGAUCCGGUGGUUCGGCGUGGAAGGGCCAUCGCUCAACGGAUAAAAGCUACCCUGGGGAUAACAGGCUUAUCUCCCCCAAGAGUCCACAUCGACGGGGAGGUUUGGCACCUCGAUGUCGGCUCAUCACAUCCUGGGGCUGUAGUAGGUCCCAAGGGUUGGGC
Molecule: ribosomal RNA, 682 nt
Filed under: Clostridioides difficile
Lineage: Bacteria; Bacillati; Bacillota; Clostridia; Peptostreptococcales; Peptostreptococcaceae
Description: bacterial LSU rRNA
Rfam family: Bacterial large subunit ribosomal RNA
Source: RNAcentral